This 65-nucleotide transfer RNA is filed under the name Cryptocercus kyebangensis. RNAcentral describes it as "tRNA-Ala". The record is from RNAcentral. RNAcentral also lists the same sequence under 2 other names. Lineage: Eukaryota; Metazoa; Arthropoda; Insecta; Blattodea; Cryptocercidae.
GGGAUUGUAGUUAAUUAUAACAUUUGAAUUGCAUACAAAAAGUAUUGAAUUUUCAAUCUAUCUCA